This 506-nucleotide ribosomal RNA is filed under the name uncultured bacterium. RNAcentral's name for it is "bacterial SSU rRNA". It matches the Rfam family "Bacterial small subunit ribosomal RNA", at positions 17 to 518 of the family's 1533-position model. The record is from RNAcentral.
CGAUGGCUCAGGAUGAACGCUAGCGACAGGCCUAACACAUGCAAGUCAGGGCAGCAUUGAGGUAGCUGCACUUCAGAUGGCGACCGGCGCACGGGUGAGUAACGCGUAUGCAACCUGGCUUCGGCUACGGGAUAGCCUUGCGAAAGUAAGAUUAAUACCGUAUGCGAUAUGGAGUGACAUCACUUUAUAUUGAAAGAUUUAUCGGCAGGAGAUGGGCAUGCGUCUGAUUAGUUAGUUGGCGGGUAACGGCCCACCAAGACAUCGAUCAGUAGGGGUUCUGAGAGGAAGGUCCCCCACAUUGGAACUGAGACACGGUCCAAACUCCUACGGGAGGCAGCAGUGAGGAAUAUUGGUCAAUGGACGGAAGUCUGAACCAGCCAAGUCGCGUGAAGGAAGACGGUUCUAUGGAUUGUAAACUUCUUUUGCCCGAGGGUAAAGUGAGCUACGUGUAGCUUAUUGCAAGUAUCGGGUGAAUAAGCAUCGGCUAACUCCGUGCCAGCCGCGGC